Small nucleolar RNA from Spea bombifrons (plains spadefoot toad), 139 nucleotides. RefSeq annotates it as small nucleolar RNA SNORA57. The record is from RefSeq and is a predicted model, not a curated record. The transcript has a single exon. Lineage: Eukaryota; Metazoa; Chordata; Amphibia; Anura; Pelobatidae.
CCUCCAUUUCUUGGCACUAAGGGUGUUUUCUCGUACCCCUGUGUGUAAUGUACGGAGGAAGAUCAUAAUUCUCGGUGUUAUGUCUUCGGUGCUAGCUCAACGCCAUGAGCUAGUUCUAUCCUCAAUCGCUGGGACACGC